GCUGGUACUGGGCCGCACUGCUUCUUACCAGGCCUCCUCCCAGGGUUUCUGCAGAUUUCUGGCCCAGCUGCACCGCGCGCCUGAGCACAGAUGCGUGAGAUAAACCUGCGUAAGGAGGAGAAUCCCAGCUCGCCCCAGCCUGGGUCCUGGGCACAGCUCCCCGGAGCAGCGUUCUGAGAAGGGUGAUCUAAAUUACACACGGAAGACGAGGCGGAGCCGAACUCAAGCUCACCGAGAACAGAAUGUUGCCAGAAAGUAUGCUUCUGCUUUAAGAGUCAGAAACUCAAGCACCAAACGGAAGGGCACUGCUCCUGUGAAAACAUGUGGAAGGUUUUGUUUGCCUGUAAACUUCUUGUGUACCGUCCAGGUGAGUCGCUGAGAUCCCACUGAAGGAAUAAAAUCUUGGAAUAUGGAAUCAUUCUCAGAACAAAGAAAGGUAAGAAUCACAAUGUGCCCUACAAAUGAAUGAAAUAUAGUGCUUGGCUCUGAGACACUGAUCCCAUGAAAGCACUGUCAGCUGACACAAGCCUUGGACUAUUGGAUCUGUGUGGUCAUAGGAACAAUGGCUGAAGAAACUACAAUAUACAAAAUUUGAUCACAAAUAUGACAAAUGUUCAAAUUUUUUAAAAAUUUGUUUUAGUAAAAUACAUGUUGCCACUAAUCCACCUCAAAAUACUCCCCUCAGUCGAACACACUUAUCCCAUCUUUUUUGCCACUUUAUGAAACAGUUAUGGAAGUCCUUGUUCAUGAGUGUCUUUAGUUGUCCCGUGGUAGCUGGUUCAAUGUCUUGAAUCCAUUCAAAAUGUUUACCUUGCAUGAUCAUUUUGACUUUGGAGAAGAGUCAGAACCCCAUGGUGUCACAUCCUAUGAAUAAGGUGGAUGAGGUAACUCCAUAAUGCUUUUAUUUGACAGGAAUUGCUACAGAU
Molecule: non-coding RNA, 926 nt
Organism: Heterocephalus glaber (naked mole-rat)
Lineage: Eukaryota; Metazoa; Chordata; Mammalia; Rodentia; Bathyergidae
Source: RefSeq, a predicted model, not a curated record